GGUUCUCUUAGCUCAGUUGGUAGAGCAGUCAAACUUGCAACCUGAAGGUAGGCGGUUCGAAUCUGCCAAAGAGACCA
RNAcentral lists this transfer RNA (77 nucleotides) under Rhizomucor miehei CAU432. Its description in RNAcentral is "tRNA-Ala (TGC) (tRNA-Ala-TGC-4-1)". It matches the Rfam family "tRNA". Rfam says of the family: Transfer RNA (tRNA) molecules are approximately 80 nucleotides in length. Their secondary structure includes four short double-helical elements and three loops (D, anti-codon, and T loops). Further hydrogen bonds mediate the characteristic L-shaped molecular structure. tRNAs have two regions of fundamental functional importance: the anti-codon, which is responsible for specific mRNA codon recognition, and the 3' end, to which the tRNAs corresponding amino acid is attached (by aminoacyl-tRNA synthetases). tRNAs cope with the degeneracy of the genetic code in two manners: having more than one tRNA (with a specific anti-codon) for a particular amino acid; and 'wobble' base-pairing, i.e. permitting non-standard base-pairing at the 3rd anti-codon position. The record is from RNAcentral. Lineage: Eukaryota; Fungi; Mucoromycota; Mucoromycetes; Mucorales; Lichtheimiaceae.